Non-coding RNA from Vicia faba (fava bean), 237 nucleotides. The record is from the annotation of a GenBank genome assembly. NCBI's taxonomy places the organism in Eukaryota, Viridiplantae, Streptophyta, Magnoliopsida, Fabales, Fabaceae.
AUGGCUGCAAACAACAAUGACAUAAUGAGACUCAGCCGUGAAAUCCAACAUGUGUUUGUUCGUCGCAGGAGGGCUAGACUUCAAAAUGAGCAGGCCAAAGUUAGGCGGGGAACCGUCCCUAGUCCUCAUGACGGGGAAGCAAUUGAGUUCUAUGAGUCGUCUGUCACAAAGGUCCUCAUCUCAGGGCACGUCUCCUCUGCUCGCAUAGAACAGGAGCGUAGCUUCUACUGCACAUAG